This 691-nucleotide ribosomal RNA is filed under the name uncultured bacterium. RNAcentral's name for it is "bacterial SSU rRNA". It matches the Rfam family "Bacterial small subunit ribosomal RNA", at positions 140 to 828 of the family's 1533-position model. The record is from RNAcentral.
GGGAUAAGCGGAAGAAAUUCCGUCUAAUACCGCGUAAUAACUCCGAGAGGCAUCUCCUGGGGUUUAAAGGGUAACACCGGCUACGGAUGGCCAUGCGGCGCAUUAGCUAGUUGGCGGGGUAACGGCCCACCAAGGCGACGAUGCGUAGGGGUUCUGAGAGGAAGGUCCCCCACACUGGUACUGAGACACGGACCAGACUCCUACGGGAGGCAGCAGUGAGGAAUAUUGGUCAAUGGGCGCGAGCCUGAACCAGCCAAGUCGCGUGAGGGAAGACGGUCCUAUGGAUUGUAAACCUCUUUUGUCGGGGAGCAAAAGACGCCACGCGUGGCGUUCCGAGAGUACCCGAAGAAAAAGCAUCGGCCAACUCCGUGCCAGCAGCCGCGGUAAUACGGAGGAUGCGAGCGUUAUCCGGAUUUAUUGGGUUUAAAGGGUGCGCAGGCGGAAGAUCAAGUCAGCGGUAAAAUUGAGAGGCUCAACCUCUUCGAGCCGUUGAAACUGGUUUUCUUGAGUGAGCGAGAAGUAUGCGGAAUGCGUGGUGUAGCGGUGAAAUGCAUAGAUAUCACGCAGAACUCCGAUUGCGAAGGCAGCAUACCGGCGCUCAACUGACGCUCAUGCACGAAAGUGUGGGUAUCGAACAGGAUUAGAUACCCUGGUAGUCCACACAGUAAACGAUGAAUACUAAUUGUUCGGG